Molecule: ribosomal RNA, 1248 nt
Filed under: metagenome
Description: bacterial SSU rRNA
Rfam family: Bacterial small subunit ribosomal RNA
Source: RNAcentral
GCGACGAUCUGUAGCUGGUCUGAGAGGACGACCAGCCACACUGGGACUGAGACUCGGCCCAGACUCCUACGGGAGGCAGCAGUGGGGAAUUUUGGACAAUGGGCGCAAGCCUGAUCCAGCCAUGCCGCGUGUGGGAAGAAGGCCUUCGGGUUGUAAACCACUUUUGUCAGGGAAGAAACGGUCCGAUCUAAUACAUUGGACUAAUGACGGUACCUGAAGAAUAAGCACCGGCUAACUACGUGCCGGCAGCCGCGGUAUACGUAGGGUGCAAGCGUUAAUCGGAAUUACUGGGCGUAAAGCGUGCGCAGGCGGCUUUGCAAGACAGAUGUGAAAUCCCCGGGCUCAACCUGGGAACUGCAUUUGUGACUGCAUGGCUAGAGUACGGUAGAGGGGGAUGGAAUUCCGCGUGUAGCAGUGAAAUGCGUAGAUAUGCGGAGGAACACCGAUGGCGAAGGCAAUCCCCUGGACCUGUACUGACGCUCAUGCACGAAAGCGUGGGGAGCAGACAGGAUUAGAUACCCUGGUAGUCCACGCCCUAAACGAUGUCAACUGGUUGUUGGACGGCUUGCUGUUCAGUAACGAAGCUAACGCGUGAAGUUGACCGCCUGGGGAGUACGGCCGCAAGGUUGAAACUCAAAGGAAUUGACGGGGACCCGCACAAGCGGUGGAUGAUGUGGUUUAAUUCGAUGCAACGCGAAAAACCUUACCUACCCUUGACAUGUCUAGAAGUUUCCAGAGAUGGAUUCGUGCUCGAAAGAGAACUAGAACACAGGUGCUGCAUGGCCGUCGUCAGCUCGUGUCGUGAGAUGUUGGGUUAAGUCCCGCAACGAGCGCAACCCUUAUCAUUAGUUGCUACGCAAGGGCACUCUAAUGAGACUGCCGGUGACAAACCGGAGGAAGGUGGGGAUGACGUCAGGUCAUCAUGGCCCUUAUGGGUAGGGCUACACACGUCAUACAAUGGCCGGUACAGAGGGCUGCCAACCCGCGAGGGGGAGCUAACCUCAGAAAACCGGUCGUAGUCCGGAUCGCAGUCUGCAACUCGACUGCGUGAAGUCGGAAUCGCUAGUAAUCGCGGAUCAGCUUGCCGCGGUGAAUACGUUCCCGGGUCUUGUACACACCGCCCGUCACACCAUGGAAGCGGGUUCUGCCAGAAGUAGUUAGCCUAACCGCAAGGAGGGCGAUUACCACGGCAGGGUUCGUGACUGGGGUGAAGUCGUAACAAGGUAGCCGUAUCGGAAGGUGCGGCUG